UGGUGGUGUGCGGCGUCGCCGUCUCCGGCCUCUUGGCGCCGCCCGCGGCACGGCCAUGGUGGUGGUGCGGCGUCGCCGCGUCCUUCUUGAUCAUCUCGCGCGCUGGUCGAUGGAAAAGGGCAAGCCCAUGCCCAUGGCGUCGCCGAACCACCGCAACGACCUUGUUGAGAUUCCGAGUGAGGAAACAAGCCGGCCCGGAGGCUCUGAUCACGGCUUGCUACAGCGCUGCUCUGUUUAACUCAUCCAAAGUUGGGAGCUUCAGGAAGCAGGCCAAGGACCUUUCAAGGCUUCUUCUCCUCCUCCAGGUCCAGGAAGGCCGCGGACCAGAGCAACUCUGCUUGAUGCGAGGGUUCAGCUGGCUGCUCAGAGUGCACGCACUGAUUUCAGCUUGCUUGAUGAGAAGAUCCUCUUGGGCUCUUGGCGCUCAGUUGUGUUGGUUCAGUUGAAAUCACCAAAGUCUCCGGCACUGACUGUAUUGCAGCCUUCUUCGCACUGCACACUUCAGUUGAGUAUCUUCUGUCUUGUACGCAUGUUGGAAUUGGAGAUAUGGAUGCCACAAAAAGUUCUUCUCAUGGGAAAUGUUGAUGUCAAUGAAGCUGACCCUGAAGAAAACACUGCAAUACUUGUGCCUCGGUGUUAGCUCAAGAACACAGGAGCCAAGGAUUGUGUGGUUUCUGCUGAACAAUGGUGCUGGAGUUUUCAGGGGGAAAAACGUACAUUGUAUUAUGCCAGUAAUAAAGUGUGUACACUUGCCUGAGAUUUUCUGCUUUCUUCUAUCAGAUCAUCAGUUCCCAAUAUCUCCACCUACCUCCAAUAUCAGCGAGGACUUGCCUCAGGUUGAUGCAAGCAGCAAGAGCAAUACUGAAAACCAGCAGGAUGGUGAUGCUUGCAGAAGUAGAAGCCAAAAUGUUCCUGUAUUCAUAAGGCAUUUUUCUGGAUUGAUUGUAUUGACACUCAACAUGGAUGAAUCUUCAGAACAUAUGAUGAACUUGUAUGAAUAGAAGACGAAGACAAAAAUCGCAAAUAGGUAUUUCUCAGAUGGGCUGGAAAAAAAAUCGAGACCGAGCGCACCUUACGGUUCUAUGGGAUAGCGCGAAAUGCUAAAGUCCAUCUUUGUGGCCGGCUGCUCGGGGGAAAGACUGAUACCCUGGAGAAUUACGUCAGUGAUAAUGGAGAGAACUUCUCAGUGGAGGUUACUUUACCAGAUGGAAAUGUUUCAUUGGAUAUGACUAAGCUAGGAUGCUUAAUCCUAUUAACUCCCUAAAUGCUUCACGCAUGCAUUUGCUUAGUCCAAGAGCUGGAAUGGAGACAUUACAAUGAAUGAUUUAAAGUAACCAGCAUGGAUGUGCAGAGGCGGAGCUUGGCCUGAGAAAUAGGAGGCAGAGGCGGAGGAUAGUUAUGGCCAAGGUGGGCCAUGGGCCCCCUGCUUUUGUAUUUUCCCUUUGAGUAACAGUGAUUUGUGCAACUUAAUUAAGCACUUACCAGUAGAAAUGGCCGUGCGUUGCUAUGAA
Long non-coding RNA from Setaria italica (foxtail millet), 1511 nucleotides. RefSeq lists it as uncharacterized. The transcript has 5 exons. Lineage: Eukaryota; Viridiplantae; Streptophyta; Magnoliopsida; Poales; Poaceae. The record is from RefSeq and is a predicted model, not a curated record.